Molecule: ribosomal RNA, 366 nt
Filed under: uncultured fungus
Lineage: Eukaryota; Fungi
Description: eukaryotic LSU rRNA
Rfam family: Eukaryotic large subunit ribosomal RNA
Source: RNAcentral
AUAUCAAUAAGCGGAGGAAAAGAAACUAACCAGGAUUCCCUUAGUAACUGCGAGUGAAGUGGGAAGAGCUCAAAUUUGUAAUCUGGCGGCCUUUGGACGUCCGAGUUGUAAUCUAAAGAAGUGCUACCUGUGCUGGACCGUGUACAAGUCUUCUGGAAUGGAGCAUCACAGAGGGUGAGAAUCCCGUCUUUGACAUGGACUGCCAGUGCUCAAUAGGUGUGCUCUCAAAGAGUCGAGUUGUUUGGGAAUGCAGCUCAAAAUGGGUGGUAAAUGCCAUCUAAAGCUAAAUAUUGGCGAGAGACCGAUAGCGAACAAGUACCGUGAGGGAAAGAUGAAAAGAACUUUGGAAAGAGAGUUAAACAGUAC